Molecule: long non-coding RNA, 653 nt
Organism: Symphalangus syndactylus (siamang)
Lineage: Eukaryota; Metazoa; Chordata; Mammalia; Primates; Hylobatidae
Source: RefSeq, a predicted model, not a curated record
GUGGGGGGCGGCAGUUUAGUUUCGUGGGACCGGCGGCAUUCGUCGUUCCUCCCCACGGGGAUAAUUCGAGAAGUGCGGUACGGGUAGGGAGAGAAAUCAGGAGAGAAAAUGAGAAAGAGAAGCCUCGUUUCCCCUCAAAGUUGGACGACCCACUCGCAUAUCUCCUUUUUGGGAGAUUCGCUGGAGGUGUACUUAACCGAAACUAGCAAUCCCAGGCGGUAGAAGGCCCUCCAUCGUAGGCAAAGCACCACCUGAAUGUAGAUUUGGGGCCAUACGUUGGAAAAUAAGACAUGAGAGUAUGCUCCAAUCAAUUUUAGUGUUUACUGGACAACUAUUUUGGGAAUUUACAGACCUAUAAAGCCCAUCUAUAAAUCUCAAGCAUGUCCACUUUCAGAGAAGAGAAAUGCCAACAACCAUUUAGUCUCUGAGGACAACGCUUUUAAAGCACCUGUUCUUCUCAUCACUGGACCUAUAAAGUGGCAUUAAUCAUCAGGAGUCCAGCAGAAUUGGGAAAGUCAUGUAUGCUGCAAAGUACAUUCCAAAGUCUUAAAAUAUUCUUGUCUUACCCACUGUUCUGUUUAUUUGUUUACUUAUUUUUAAACAAACAUCUGUUUGAAAGAGGGAGUGCUGUGUGUUCUGGUAUCCUUUACCUG